CAGUAGCCGCGGUAAUACGUAGGUGGCAAGCGUUGUCCGGAAUUAUUGGGCGUAAAGGGCUCGCAGGCGGUUUCUUAUGUCUGAUGUGAAAGCCCCCGGCUCCACCGGGGAGGGUCAUUGGAAACUGGGAAACUUGAGUGCAGAAGAGGAGAGUGGAAUUCCACGUGUAGCGGUGAAAUGCGUAGAGAUGUGGAGGAACACCAGUGGCGAAGGCGACUCUCUGGUCUGUAACUGACGCUGAGGAGCGAAAGCGUGGGGAGCGAACAGGAUUAGAUACCCCAGUAGUCCCUGUCUCUUAUAA
This 301-nucleotide ribosomal RNA is filed under the name uncultured bacterium. RNAcentral's name for it is "partial 16S ribosomal RNA". It matches the Rfam family "Bacterial small subunit ribosomal RNA", at positions 509 to 809 of the family's 1533-position model. The record is from RNAcentral.